UACGUAGGGUGCGAGCGUUAACCGGAAUUACUGGGCGUAAAGCGUGCGCAGGCGGUUCUCCAAGUCCGUUGUGAAAGCCCCGGGCUCAACCUGGGAAUGGCAGUGGAAACUAGGGGACUGGAAUCUGGCAGAGGGGGGUGGAAUGCCGCGUGUAGCAGUGAAAUGCGUAGAGAUCAUGAGGAAGACCAGUGGCGAAGGCGGGUCUCUGGACAGUUCCUGACACUGAGGCACGAAGGCCAGGGGAGCGAACGGG
Molecule: ribosomal RNA, 253 nt
Filed under: uncultured bacterium
Lineage: Bacteria
Description: partial 16S ribosomal RNA
Rfam family: Bacterial small subunit ribosomal RNA
Source: RNAcentral